This is an RNA transcript of Solea solea (common sole), 4958 nucleotides long. It is a transcript of the gene named SMC5-SMC6 complex localization factor 2, with no coding region annotated. The transcript is spliced from 22 exons. The record is from RefSeq and is a predicted model, not a curated record. NCBI's taxonomy places the organism in Eukaryota, Metazoa, Chordata, Actinopteri, Pleuronectiformes, Soleidae.
UAAAUAAAACAUACAAUAAAACAAAAAGAUCACAUCAUAGUCGAUAGAACACACCUCAAAGGCAACACCAUGUAUAUACCUAACCACUGGCUCUGCAUUGUCAACUGUAUUUUAAAUACACAUCUUCAAGUUAAAAUGUUUCAAUCGUGGUUUGUCAACUAUCCUGUGACUGAGAGCUACCUGAAAGGGGAAGUCCUUGCACUUCAGCAUCAUUCCCUACACCAGGAGACUCCAAUGAAGCCGCCCCACAUCCCGAAUGAGCCGUAUCAUCCACCACCCAGGAGAAAGUUACCACUUCAAAGUCCUGAGCUGUGUCACAGAUCAGAACACUUAACUAUUUCCUUGGAACCAAUCUGUAUAAUGGACAGCCCAGCUAACAUUGGAACCCCAGCACUUCUGUCCAGUCACUGUUCAAGGGAAAGACUUUGUGCAACACGGAACUCUGGUCAACACCCAGGGCCUUUCUACUCCUCACAUAAUGUUCCAUUCAACCAGUCUAACAUUCGUGCCUCAGUAGAUGGGCAACAGUCCCGGCCUCCCACUGACUUCCAUUACAUCUCCCCUAAGUGCAUGAGGGAUGUAAGCAACUACAGUACCUCGUCUUUUCACAUGAGGAGAGAUCAAGUAACCAAACCCAAGGACACCUUGUGUUUUUCAGGAAGCAAGAAUGUAACUGCGAUAAAUCAAGACUCAAACAAGACUCAACCUAGUGAUUUUAGAAGUUUCUUAUUUACUCCCCAGCAGCACAGGCCUCAUGUGAGCCCACCAGAGAGAGCAGCUGAAGAAGUUUAUCCACAGCAACCCUCGUACUGUGAGCCCCAGAGUCCUGGGAACUGCCAUUGCCCCCCAAGUUACUGCAAAUAUCCUCUGAGUAGACGGUCUUCUGACAGAAGAAGUGAUGUUGGUGUACCUAUGAUGCACAGCCCUGCACGCCCUGACCAGGACCAGCAAUAUAAACGAGUACCUUCAAGUGUAAAGUCAACUCCAGCAGAGGACUCGCAUUGCUCGUCAUUGAAGAGGCGAAGGGACUCUGAGGACAACUCGACCAGCCCAUCAUUAGUGUCUUCAUUGAAGUGUUCUUCGGACUUUAAACUGCAACAGAAAACCACAGACAGCCACCUGUGUACAGAGCCAGUAUGUGGCCAGUCGUCACAUCUGGUUGACACUGAUGCACAGGAUGACGAUUCCAAACAUUACAUAAGGAAGGCAUAUAUAACUUCCUCUCAGGAUCAGAUCAUCAAGAUCAGAUUAUCUGAAAUGCCUGCUGAUGGAUGUUUGAGAAAAACAGAAGUGGAACCUGUUAGAAAGACUAAAUGUAGCACUUUAUUCUCCCCCAAGGUCACGAGUAGUUUGCCUCAUACGCACAGUACCUCAGUUCUACAAGUGAAGACUCCAAGGACCAAGAUGAGCAUUGCGUCCAAAUCAUCCUCAAAGUUAAAUUCAGGUUCUCAGGUUGAACUGAAUAAAACUGGCCGCCUACGAAGACAUGGUGUGAUGCCUAAUUACACAGAUUAUCUCUUUACCCCUGAUCCCAUUUCCUAUUUAGUCAGCCCUGCACAUAAAACGGCAAAACCUGAGAGAGCUGGAUCAACCAUUAAGUCUACCAUGCCAGAGAAAAGCUGUUCAUCCACUACAUCCGUUAGAUCCAGUACUCGAGUUACUGGAUCCUCAUGUCAAAAAACUCAGAACUCCACAGUAAGGGGCUUUACUAAUGCAGAAGACACCAAAGUCCCUUAUUCAGUAGGUAACAUACAAUUCCAAUUGCCUUCUGUAACUUUAGAGAGGAUAAAACUUGAAAACAUUCCUUCUCGCUCUAAAGACAGUGAACCCAUCACCAUUUCAGGUAGGCAACUUCAGGGCACGAGUGUUAAAUCUGAAGAGGAACACACGACUCUCCUCGCUCACAAUGUGACUUCAGUGACGGGCACCACUGCCUCUAAAGAGAUGUUUCAUUUCACAGAAGUGAAGAAGGAGACAGGUGAAAGGAAUGGAAAAAAGACAAAUGAAGAAGAUUCUGCCGAUAUUGAGUCUGUAGAACUUGACCUAGACUUCAGCUUUGAGUUAGAUGUGGGUUUAGCCCAGAGCUCUCAGAGCAGUGAAGAAGAGCAGCUGCUUUCCUUGCAGGAGAUGAUUGAGUCGGUUACCAAGCCUCCAGAUACACCAGAGAAGGGAGCCUUUUCAGAGCCAAGUACACCUGGAAAUCAUAGCAUGCGGUUACGUGCUCGAUUGUCUUCCCCUACAAAGCCAGGUCUCUACAAAAACAACCUUGAUCUACUGCUGAAGGAAAUCAACACCAAUAAAAAAGCUAAAAAGAGUGAGGAGCAGCUUCUGUUGAUGUGCAAAGAGGACCUGCUGAGAAUAGCCAAAUUUGAGGAGGACCAGGAGCAACAAGAGGAGGCCAUCACCAGUGAACAGCAGGAAUUUGUGCAACGCUACACAUUGAUGUCAGAUGGACUCAGGGAAGUUCCUCCAGGAGAAGCGGUGUUCAACCUGGAGAAGUUUGGUCAGAUAUUCAACCAGGACACACUGCAGCUAAGAAAAUACAUGGUCAAGCCACAGGGGAUGGCACAAAAAACUCUUCUUUGGUCCAGUCCAGCUCAGCUGAGAUCACAUGUGACCAUGGGGUUGUUUCAAGAGGCGUACGACUGUCAAUCGCCUUGUCCAACUCAAGUCAGCCGCUUCCUGUUCAAGAUGAUGUCGGUCCACACGGAGAGGCUGAUAUCCGAAAAGAUACUCGAGGUCCUCCGUGACAUCGCCUGCACUGCUGCGUGUCAGAUAGUGGAAAGUGAAAGCCAGCAGUUUAAAGUGUGGGUCCCCAGUUUGGCCGAUGUGACACUGGUCCUGCUGAACAUGGGAGUUCCAUUUGUUUCCCUCUUCCCUUUUGAAAAUCUGCAGCCUCAAUUCACAGAAGGAGAUUUGCUGGAGGAUGUUUACAUAUAUAAAAGUGAAAGUCCUUCCCAUAACAAGGAACAGAAAACUGUUCCUGAACACAACUACAGCACCAUAUUGAAGUAUCUGUCUCUCUGUAUGGGCCUGUGUCCACGAGCAUACAGCGACGAUGAGCUGCUUUUGCUGCUCUCUGUGUUGGAAAGAGUGAGCCUUGACACUCAGCUCAUCCUCCAGCCCAGUGUGGAAAUCUUCCCUCUUCUAUAUAAAAUUCUCAACAACUUCAGGGACUGGAAAUCUAUGCUGCCCAGAAUCUGUCUGGCCCUUACUGAUCUGACAGAUGACCACCACAACAUGUGUCUGCUCAUUCAGCAGCUGCCUGACAACAAACGUGGAAAGCAACUGCGCCAACAUCUGAGUCUGUCUAUGAUUUCUAAACUGUUGAAUGGAAAAAGCACAUACAGGCCUACAGAAGAAGAGUUUCAGCUCUCUGCGCUGAGGCCAUAUUUGCCCGCUAUGCAACCUUCCACCAUUAUUCAAGGAAUGCUGAGCUCCUCCAGCCGGAGUUGGAGAGAUAAAGAUGAGGAUAUGGCUUAUCUAGACCAACAGUCCUACUACCUCUGCUAUAGCCUGCUGACAUUGACAAAUGAGGCUUCCAACUUUCAGUCUUUCCCAGCCCAUCAGAACGACCAGCUGCUGUGUCUGUACUCUGACCUGGAUGUACAUGUUAAGUGUGACAUCAGGGAGAGUGAGAAAUGUCUGUACCGAAGCAAGCGUCAGUCAGUCAGGAAGGGAGGGAGGAAAACUUUGAAGAUCAAGCCUGGUGAUUAAGGGUCAGUAGCUUGAGCAGAGAAGCCCAGACUUCCCUCUCCCCUGCCACUUUGUCUGGUUCUUCCUGGGCUGUCCUGAGCUGUUCCCAGGCCAGCCGAGAGACAGUCUCCAGCGAGUCCUGGUUCUUCCACCUCAUCUGGCUCCUCAUGUGGAGGAGCAGCGGCUCUUCUCUAACCCCUUCCAAAUGACUGAGCUUUCAUUCUCACCCUAUCUCUAUGGUAAAGGAUUUAGUUUCCAGAAUUGACAUCAAGUGGCAGAAUAUGCUUCAGAAGACCAAGCCCUUCUAUUCAUGGUCUGCUGUAUGAUCACUGGCAACCUCAGUAGCCGAGAAGAGGAUGGCAUAUGGAUAGGGACGAUGAAGAGGAUGUCCAGAUGGAAGAGGACAAAAUCCAGUGGACGGCAGAAGAGGCAAUUGUUCUAGAAGAUUAAAGGCCCAGUGUGUAAGAAUUAGAGACUGCGAAAUGCAACAGAGGGCUCCUCCACUUCCACUGCUGACCACACUGAGGCCUUUACAUACAACGGAGGAUGUCGUUUUUUGAUUUCAUAUUUUGCUUCUGCUUUAAUGUGUUUAUAUACAAACCGUAUAUUUAAUUCUGCCAAUAAACUCUCCAUAUACGCACAAAUUACACACUGGGCCUUUAAGUACAGGUUCUAUAUGUAGUCUUUUGCUUUUAAAUGACCAAGUAAUUUACAGAAUGUACCAUACAUAUGGUAUUGUGCUUUUUUUUUUUUAGCCCAGUAAGUUAAAUAUUUGAUACCUUGAUCCUAAAUGUUGUUUCUUAAUUUGGCAGUGAUGGCAGUGUCUGUGAUUUAAAUAUCAUUAACAAGUUGGUUAUUUAUGCCAAUAUUCUGCUGGAUUUGCAAUACAGCGGCCGCUAGUCAGUGCUUUACUGAACUAUUACUUGUUUGUUUCCUACAGUAAUUAAAGUUAUACUUGUCAUUGCAGGAAAAACAGAUGAGGCGUUUCUAAUAAUAUUAAUGGUCUCGGUUCUAUUAAAAUAUUUCUAGGAAGCCGCAUCACACUGUACCAUAAAGUUCUGAAACAGAAUUAGUUCAGCAAUCAAUUUCCUACAGGUUCCUUUAAAUUUUUUCAGUGAAAAAGGCCUUUAAAUUGUCAAUAUUGUUCUUGUACAUAAUGUUUUGUUUUAUUGUAAUAUUUACUCUUGUGUUGAUUGUGCAUGUGUUUUUCAGUUAUUAAACUAUUUUGAAAUACAGAAAAUAAACUUUAUUUACAAAUUCUA